CCGGGUGCCGGGUGCCGUGGGAGGCCGAUUGCAAGUGUCGACAAGCAAUCGGAAUGCGAAAUAAGGUGGGUUGUGCUCACCGAAACGACUAGGUCGCCUAUAUGUCUAAGAGUAAUGGUUCUCUAGUUGAUGCAUAUAGUUGUGUUGGUAGGCUUAUAUAAUGAUAUGAAUGCUUGAAACAUACUAUGUAGUUGAGAUUACCUACCAAUGAGAUGAGAUGCAUAAUGAAUUAAAUACUAAAAGAAUGCAUGAGAUGCUUAGUAUGAACUAUUUUGGAUAAUGACUAUAUGUAUGUUGACAUAUCAUGUGAUGCUAGUGGUAUAUGUGCAUGAUGACAUAUUAUGAAUUAACAUAUUGUGGAUUAUGUUAAAUAGAAAAACAUACUUGAUGACAUAUUGUCAUAUUGUGGAACAUAGUAGAUGAAAAUGUAUGCAUGUUGAUAUACCUUGAGAUAUGAGUUGAUAUAUAUGCAUGUUGAUGUAUUGUGGACUACGUUAAAUAACAUAUGCAUGUUAAACUUGGGUCUAUACCUCUUGGAUGGUUAGAAAACUCGAUGUUGAAAAAUAAUGACGUAUGAACUAUGAUAUGCGACGUGGACAAUCUAUAUAUAUUAGAUCGAGUGGCAUAUGAUUAGUAUAGUGGAAACACUUAUGACAUGUUGAACACUUAGAAAACAAGUAUGGCAUGAGUCCAAGAAUAUAGUAGUGUAUAUGACACAAGUGAUAGUAAAGAAUGCAAAGAAAAGAAUGAUUGAAAUAUUAUGACAUUUCAACCCUAGAGUUAGGGUCAUUUGAACAUAGUCUUUCUAAAGUUAAGGAAUUGAUUGAACUUGGAGUCCUCAAAUGUAGGAUUGAUCAUACUCACUUUUAGUCCUUGCUCGAGGUUGUGGUAACUCUCCCUCGGGCGAUGUGCUCCGGAGUCGACAUCACUGGGUUAUAGCGAGUAUCUCCCCAGAAGACGGUCCCAUCGGGUCGUAGCGAGUAUCUCCCUGAUUAUUGGGAUUUUGAGUUUGUGAGUUUGUUGAGGGCAAAACCUUCGGGUUAGCCAAGAGAUUGGGUAACAAGCACAUGAGUUGUAGCAAUAUCCUAGUUGAGUGGACUUAAGGCUGAGGUGCAAGUGAGACGUCCUUCGCCUCGAGCCUGGCUUUAUGCGGUACUCUGCGAAUGAUUGACUCGAGACCGAGUCGUGUGGAUAGUUGAUAAAGGUAAAUGAGACCAUAUGAUCAGAAUUGUAAUUGAUAUGAAUUUAAAAUAGUGGAAUAACUUCGAAGUCAAUUGAAUGAGCUUUGAAUAGCAGGAUUAAAGUAGUAUCGAUUGAACUACUAAUUGGUUGCAUAAAUCGCAUGAUUUUCAUAUUGCAUAGUUGUGAGGCAUGACAUGUAUUUCAAUUAUCGCAUAUAUAUAUAUGUUGGAUAUUUGUUGGACUAACAUGUUGCAGUGCCUCCUUGGACCUGUGGGUCGAGCUCUUCCCUUGGGUGGCCGUACCCACUGGGAACUAUAUUUAUAUAGUUCUCACCCCCGUGUUGUUUUUGGGGGUACAGGUUCCCACGUGAGCGGCGCGGCGGCGCGAGGAGAGGGCGUAGCUCCGUAGAUAGCGCCCUACCACCGAGACCAGAGAUAGCGGUACCCUGAGUCGGCCUUUACUUAGGGAUGUAAGAAAAUGAAAAGAAUCAAGUUGUAAUAAUUUGUAAUAAAAGCUUGAUUGUAUUUGGAAGUUAAAUGUAAUGUGUAAUUAUGAUGUAAAAUAUAUCUAGUGGAUGUGAAUGCUUGUAAUAGCAAGUAAAUUAUGUUUUUGAUACUUCCUUAUGCAAUCUUUGAUUGAAAUGUGUUCCUAGUUGGAACUUUGUAUAUUGUAUUGAUUGCGACGCCUUGAACAUACAGGGGAGACACUGUCCGCGGUACCGUGGAA
RNAcentral lists this long non-coding RNA (1908 nucleotides) under Ananas comosus (pineapple). Its description in RNAcentral is "long non-coding RNA (ACOM_LNC002252)". Lineage: Eukaryota; Viridiplantae; Streptophyta; Magnoliopsida; Poales; Bromeliaceae. The record is from RNAcentral.